Molecule: ribosomal RNA, 382 nt
Filed under: uncultured bacterium
Lineage: Bacteria
Description: bacterial SSU rRNA
Rfam family: Bacterial small subunit ribosomal RNA
Source: RNAcentral
GACGAACGCUGGCGGCGUGCUUAACACAUGCAAGUCGAGCGGUAAGGCCCUUUCGGGGGGUACACGAGCGGCGAACGGGUGAGUAACACGUGGGUGACCUGCCCUCAGCUCUGGGAUAAGCCUGGGAAACCGGGUCUAAUACUGGAUAUGACUCCAUGACGCAUGUUGUGGGGGUGGAAAGCCUUGUGCGGCUGAGGAUGGGCCCGCGGCCUAUCAGCUUGUUGGUGGGGUGAUGGCCUACCAAGGCGACGACGGGUAGCCGGCCUGAGAGGGCGACCGGCCACACUGGGACUGAGACACGGCCCAGACUCCUACGGGAGGCAGCAGUGGGGAAUCUUGCGCAAUGGGCGAAAGCCUGACGCAGCGACGCCGCGUGAGGGAU